This 254-nucleotide ribosomal RNA is filed under the name uncultured bacterium. Its description in RNAcentral is "partial 16S ribosomal RNA". It matches the Rfam family "Bacterial small subunit ribosomal RNA", at positions 524 to 776 of the family's 1533-position model. The record is from RNAcentral.
UACGUAGGGGGCGAGCGUUGUCCGGAUUUAUUGGGCGUAAAGAGCUCGUAGGCGGUUCGAUAAGUCGGACGUGAAAUCUCCACGCUCAACGUGGAGGGGCCGUUCGAUACUGUCGUGACUCGAGUCCGGUAGGGGAGUGUGGAAUUCCCGGUGUAGCGGUGAAAUGCGCAGAGAUCGGGAGGAACACCAAUGGCGAAGGCAGCUUGCUGGGACGGUACUGACGCUGAGGCGCGAAAGCGUGGGGAGCAAACAGG